CGGCGUGCUUCAUACAUGCAAGUCGAACGAUAAGGUCUCUUCGGAGAUACAUAAGUGGCGGACGGGUGAGUAAUAUGUAGAGAAUCUGCCCCAGAGCGUGGGAUAACAGAUGGAAACAUCUGCUAAAACCGCAUAUGAGCGUAGCUGAAAUGCUAUUCUUGAAAACUCCGGUGCUCUGGGAUGAGUCUGCAUCUGAUUAGCUAGUUGGGGGUGUAAUGGACCACCAAGGCGACGAUCAGUAGCUGGUUUGAGAGGAUGAUCAGCCACAAUGGGACUGAGACACGGCCCAUACUCCUAACGGGAGGCAGGCAGUAGGGAAUUUUGCGCAAUGGGCGAAAGCCUUGACGCAGCAACGCCGCGUGACCGAUGAAGCCCUUCGGGGUGUAAAGGUCUGUCAGUGGGGACGAAACUUGACGGUACCCACAGAGGAAGCAUCGGCUAACUCCGUGCCAGCCGCCGC
Molecule: ribosomal RNA, 460 nt
Filed under: uncultured bacterium
Lineage: Bacteria
Description: bacterial SSU rRNA
Rfam family: Bacterial small subunit ribosomal RNA
Source: RNAcentral